RNAcentral lists this long non-coding RNA (603 nucleotides) under Nicotiana benthamiana. RNAcentral's name for it is "long non-coding RNA (NBEN_LNC002534)". Lineage: Eukaryota; Viridiplantae; Streptophyta; Magnoliopsida; Solanales; Solanaceae. The record is from RNAcentral.
AAAAGGGUAAGAUUAAUAUCUGAAUAAGUAAGACAAAUAAUGUAUUAUAAUAAAAUGAAAUGCACUAAUAUAUAGCUAGUGUAAAACUUCAUUGUACGUAUGUUAAUGUAUAUAAGUUUGAACUGGUGAAUCAACUCGCAUGGUACCUUUUGUCUGUUUGCGUGUGUUUACUUUGACUAUAUAUGGAUUUGGACAUAACAAUUCGAUCUAAGACUACCCUCUUUCGUUCCCAUUUGAGAAAGCUUUGAUUGGACACGUUCUUCUGAGCCUCAUGUAUCCAAUGAAUUUGAUCCAAUACACCUCGUGUUUAACUCCAACUGUUUAUGUAAAGAUAGAAUUGAUGUUGACAACAAAUAUUCAAUAAUUUAAAUUUACAGGGGAAGUUCAGUGUAUUAAACUGCUCUUAUUAAGGCAGAGAUUUGUAUAACCUUAUUUUUAUCCAAUGGGAUGCAUGAGUUUGGGUUCGAGCUGGAAUGAAAAAGAAUUCUAGUAUUAUGAGUGAAUCUGAAUUAGUGGGUCAUUGUUUCCGAAUACAAGAUGAGUAAAUCCAAAAAAAAUAAAAAAUUAUCUACUUUCACAAGCGGGGUCACGAAAAUUAACACU